Molecule: ribosomal RNA, 465 nt
Filed under: uncultured bacterium
Lineage: Bacteria
Description: partial 16S ribosomal RNA
Rfam family: Bacterial small subunit ribosomal RNA
Source: RNAcentral
GACGAACGCUGGCGGCGUGCUUAACACAUGCAAGUCGAACGGAAAGGCCCCUUUGGGGGUACUCGAGUGGCGCACGGGUGUGUAACACGUGAGUAAACUGCCCUUGUCUUCGGGAUAAACUCACGAAACUGGGGCUAAUACCGGCUUGGAAUCCUUGCUGCAUGGUGGGGGUUGGUCAGCUUCGGCGGUUUUGGAUGGACUCGCGGCUUAUCAGCUUGUUGGUGGGGUAGUGGCUUACCAAGGCUUUGACGGGUAGCUGGCCUGAGAGGGCGACCGGCCACAUUGGGACUGAGAGACGGCCCAGACUCCGACGGGAGGCAGCAGGGGGGAAUAUUGCACAAUGGGCGGAAGCCGGAUGCAGCAACGCCGCGUGCGGGAUAACAGCCUUAGUGUUGUAAACCGCUAUCAGCAGGGGCGAAGCUUGUGGUGACGGUACCUGCAGAAGAAGCACCGGCUAACUACGUG